GUCUUUUUGUUAAAAAUUUAAAGUCGGGCCUGCCCACUGAAAAUUUAAAUGGCCGUGGUAUUUUGACCAUGCUAAGGUAGCAUAAUCAUUAGUUUUUUAAUUGAAAGCUGGAAUGAAAGGUUUGAUAAAAAAAUGACUGUCUCUAUUUAAUUUUAUUAAAAAUUUAUUUUUAAGUUCAAAAGCUUAAUUUUAAUUAAAAGACGAGAAGACCCUAUAGAGUUUAAUAAUUUAAGAUAAUUUAUAUUUUAGAAUUAAUUUAUUUAUUUUUUAAUAUUAUUUAAUUGGGGUGAUUAAAAAAUUUAAUUAACUUUUUUUAUAUUUUACCAUUAAUUUAUGAUAAUUUGAUCCAAUUUUUUUGAUUAUAAGAUAAAAUUACCUUAGGGAUAACAGCGUAAUUUUUUUAGAAAGUUCAAAUUAAAAGAAAAGAUUGCGACCUCGAUGUUGGAUUAAAAUUAAAUUUUGGUGUAGAAGCUAAAAAUUUUAAGUCUGUUCGACUUUUAAAAUUUUACA
This 510-nucleotide ribosomal RNA is filed under the name Calligrapha alnicola. RNAcentral's name for it is "partial 16S ribosomal RNA". The stretch from base 383 to 510 matches the Rfam family "Archaeal large subunit ribosomal RNA", at positions 2542 to 2669 of the family's 2987-position model. The record is from RNAcentral. Lineage: Eukaryota; Metazoa; Arthropoda; Insecta; Coleoptera; Chrysomelidae.